RNAcentral lists this unclassified non-coding RNA (191 nucleotides) under Limosilactobacillus fermentum. Its description in RNAcentral is "Lactobacillus fermentum partial 16S-23S ribosomal RNA intergenic spacer". The stretch from base 29 to 191 matches the Rfam family "Bacterial large subunit ribosomal RNA", at positions 1 to 163 of the family's 2925-position model. The record is from RNAcentral. Lineage: Bacteria; Bacillati; Bacillota; Bacilli; Lactobacillales; Lactobacillaceae.
ACUAACUUGACUGUUCUACGAUCAGUAAGGUUAAGUUAUGAAGGGCGCAUGGUGAAUGCCUUGGUACUAGGAGCCGAUGAAGGACGGGACUAACACCGAUAUGCUUCGGGGAGCGGUAAGUACGCUUUGAUCCGGAGAUUUCCGAAUGGGGAAACCCAAUCAUCUUAGCCGAUGAUUACUUGAGCAGUGAA